GAUGAACGCUGGCGGCGUGCUUAACACAUGCAAGUCGAACGAGGAUUUAACGGAAUGCGAUUCGUCAAAUGAAAUUAAAUCCGAGUGGCGGACGGGUGAGUAACGCGUGGAUAACCUGCCUCACACAGGGGGACAACAGUUGGAAACGACUGCUAAUACCGCAUAACACAAGUAAUUCGCAUGAAUAACUUGCCAAAGAUUAUAUCGGUGUGAGAUGGAUCCGCGUCUGAUUAGCCAGUUGGCGGGGUAACGGCCCACCAAGCGACGAUCAGUAGCCGACCUGAGAGGGUGACCGGCCACAUUGGGACUGAGACA
This 315-nucleotide ribosomal RNA is filed under the name uncultured bacterium. Its description in RNAcentral is "bacterial SSU rRNA". It matches the Rfam family "Bacterial small subunit ribosomal RNA", at positions 28 to 326 of the family's 1533-position model. The record is from RNAcentral.